UCCGUAGGCGGUGUGGCAAGUCGGAAGUGAAAUCUCUGGGCUUAACUCAGAGGCUGCUUCCGAAACUGCCGUGCUAGAGUGCGAGAGAGGCAAGUGGAAUUGCGGGUGUAGCGGUGAAAUGCGUAGAUAUCCGCAGGAACAUCCGAGGCGAAAGCGGCUUGCUGGAUCGCAACUGACGCUGAGGGACGAAAGCUAGGGGAGCAAACAGGAUUAGAUACCCUGGUAAGUCCUAGCCCUAAACCAUCAGGACUUGGGGUUUGCCCUGUACGGGGCAAGUCCCGUAGCUAACGCGUUAAGUCCUGCGCCUGGGGAGUACGGUCGCAAGGCUAGAA
This 332-nucleotide ribosomal RNA is filed under the name uncultured bacterium. Its description in RNAcentral is "bacterial SSU rRNA". It matches the Rfam family "Bacterial small subunit ribosomal RNA", at positions 568 to 899 of the family's 1533-position model. The record is from RNAcentral.